CUCAGGGACGAAAGCUAGGGGAGCGAAUGGGAUUAGAUACCCCAGUAGUCCUAGCCGUAAAACGAUGGAUACUAGGUGUUGUCUGUAUCGACCCGGGACAGUGCCGUAGCUAACGCGUUAAGUAUCCCGCUGGGGAGUACGCACGCAAGUGUGAAACUCCAAAGGAAUUGACGGGGGCCCGCACAAGCGGUGGAGUAUGUGGUUUAAUUCGAUGCAACGCGAAGAACCUUACCAGGACUUGACAUGUCGCGAAUCCAGUGGAAACACAGGAAGUGCCUUCGGGAGCGCGAAACACAAGGUGGUGCAUGGCUGUCCGUCAGCUCGUUGUCGUGAGAGUAGUUUGGGGUUAAGUUCCCCGGCUAAACCGGAGUCCGCGAAACCCUUCGGUGGUUUUAGUUGCCAUCAUUUAAGUUCGGGCUACGUCUAAACAGACUGCCGGUGGACAAACCGGAGACGGUGGGAUGACGUCAAGUCAGCCUAUGCCCCUUACGGUCUGGGCUACGUACACGGUACUACAAUGGGUAGGGACACGAAGGGCCAAGGCCCGAACCCGGCGAGGGACGUACGCCUAAAGUCCCCGGUAAACCCUGGCCUCCUAG
Molecule: ribosomal RNA, 599 nt
Filed under: uncultured bacterium
Lineage: Bacteria
Description: bacterial SSU rRNA
Rfam family: Bacterial small subunit ribosomal RNA
Source: RNAcentral